CCUACGGGAGGCUGCAGUGAGGAAUAUUGGUCAAUGGACGAGAGUCUGAACCAGCCAAGUAGCGUGAAGGAUGACUGCCCUAUGGGUUGUAAACUUCUUUUAUAUGGGAAUAAAAUGUUCCACGUGUGGGAUUUUGUAUGUACCCUAUGAAUAAGGAUCGGCUAACUCCGUGCCAGCAGCCGCGGUAAUACGGAGGAUCCGAGCGUUAUCCGGAUUUAUUGGGUUUAAGGGGAGCGUAGGUGGAUUGUUAAGUCAGUUGUGAAAGUUUGCGGCUCAACCGUAAAAUUGCAGUUGAAACUGGCAGUCUUGAGUACAGUAGAGGUGGGCGGAAUUCGUGGUGUAGCGGUGAAAUGCUUAGAUAUCACGAAGAACUCCGAUUGCGAAGGCAGUUCACUGGACUGCAACUGACACUGAGGCUCGAAAGUGUGGGUAUCAAACAGGAUUAGAUACCCCUGUAGUC
RNAcentral lists this ribosomal RNA (460 nucleotides) under uncultured bacterium. RNAcentral's name for it is "partial 16S ribosomal RNA". It matches the Rfam family "Bacterial small subunit ribosomal RNA", at positions 338 to 795 of the family's 1533-position model. The record is from RNAcentral.